Molecule: long non-coding RNA, 3234 nt
Organism: Gouania willdenowi (blunt-snouted clingfish)
Lineage: Eukaryota; Metazoa; Chordata; Actinopteri; Blenniiformes; Gobiesocidae
Product: peroxisome proliferator-activated receptor gamma coactivator-related protein 1-like
Source: Ensembl
GGGAAGAACGGAGCAGAUGAAGACGGCGCUGCGCUGCUGUCCGCUCUCACAGAGAUGUUAGACAAUGUGGCUGAAGAAGACGACAAGACUCUGUCCCCGUUCGACACCCUGCCAGACACCAAACUCAUCAGCAUCACUGAUUGUAGAGAUGAGUCGUUGGUGAAGGAACUGUCCCAUGCUCACAGACUUCGACCAAGACAUAAACCACCAAAUGCAACCCUGACACCCGGUAGAGACUCAGAAAAAGAGCAGCGCUGUAGAUCAGAUAAAAAAGCUCAGAAGCUUGGAGGCAAACAUAGGAAGUGUGAGGCCAAAGUUGAAGUGUUUUCCUCCUCGUCUCUGGUCGGUCUUGUGAGGCUCAUGCACUCUUACUGUGUGAAGCUGCACGUGGAGGACAGUGAUGAACAGAAAACGGGUCCAACGCUGUUCUCACAGGAAGAGGUGUGGAGGUACGAAAGACCCAGCGAGGAGUGCGAAGAGGAGAUCAACGUGGUGUCUGACGACGAGGCGCCGACGGAACGGACGUGUGACAGACAGCAGCUGAAGAGCGUGCUGCUGAAGGGGAACGUAUCCAAAGAGAAGAAAAGGGUUAGCUUUGGUCCUGUUCAGGUGACGUCGUACCAGGAAUCUGAGGAAAAUUAUCCAAAUGAGAAAAAUGACUUGAGUGAAACUGAUCUGGAGCCUCUGACAAUUUUCUCAGCAAAAUGUGUAAACAUGACAGAAGUUCAUCCAACAAAAGGUGGAACGAAGGUGAAAUCCCUCAGUCUACAGCAGUAUAGACAGCUGAGGCAGAGGACACGCCCCCUGGUGGUGGAGAAACAGGGAAACUACACCACAAAGUGGCCUUCAGUGCCAGUGCCCCCAAAAGAGCUCCCUCCCAUCUUGUGUUUACAAGGACAGGAAUCAAACACAAACUCACACAAAGUGAACUAUCACUCAUCAUAUCAUGGAUCAAAACGAUCCAAGUCACUCAAAUCAGUCAUUAGUCCAGUUAAAGACAUCAAUCCAAAGCUCUCUGUGCGGGACGGCAAGAGGGGGCCAGUCCUGCUGUGUAGUGACCCCCCCAAACCCCGUCCUCCUCCCACUUACCCAGUCACUACUACCAUCAUCAUCAUCCCAGUCUAGGCUACCAUCCGUCUUCCUGCAGGAGCCUCAGAGCGAGUGCUCGGCUGAACCUCUGCCUCCUCCACACACAUGUACCUCACAUGCAAACCGCUCACCCCACAAUUGUAACCAAAGCAUGGCCGCAGCACCUCAGGAAGUACAGACUAGUCUUACUGACACAGACACACACAGCGGGACCACCUCUGGGUCUCCAGUUCACACACAAUCUGCUGCAGAGCCUCACCAACGCAACAGUAACCCAAAGACUCCCUCGUCACCUCAUCCAGGAUCACCAAAGACCAGUUUGUUCUCAGCACUGCUCAGUCAGCCUCCUGCUCUUCCUCCUACAGCUUCACACACAUCCAUGUCAGAAGAGCCGCUUUCUCCUCCUGAUGAACCAUCGCCUCCUGGUAACAGCUGUAAACAAGACAGACCAGCAACUGAUUCAGGCAUUGAAGCGUGUGAUUUGACCAGCCUGUUGGAGCAGUUUGAGGAGACACAAGCUAAAGAGGCCAGAGUCUGUAUCCAGCCCAAGCCUGUUCUCUGUGGUUCAGCUUUCAACCAAGUUCAAGACGCAAGCUCAGAGACAAAGUCCACAUCACCAUCCUUUAUAAAACCACCCGAAUCUUUGGAAACACCAGAAACUUCGAGGACACAAAUUACACCUCAGCAGGAUCCAGAUCUGCAGUCUUUGGGAGAUGAAGUUGUUCCUGAGCCACUCUGCACUGAAACCAUCCAGAGCUCUCAGCAGGAUCCGCCUAGACGGACUCCGCCCCCACCCAAAGCCAUUCAGAUCAUUCAUCCACGUCCUCUACCUUCCAAAAGGACUCACAUGAGCUCGACAGAGUCUCCAGUUGCUCGACUCCCACCUCACGUGUUUUCAUAUGUGUCCUUUGAGCACGAUUACUGUGAGCCUGUGGGUCAUCCCCCAACCCCCCAGCAGAACAGUUCCAAAGACCCCCGUCAUCUCGCAGCCCCCCAGCAGAACAGGUCCAAAGACCCCCGUCAUCCAGAGCAAACCAACAGAGCAGGAUCUGAGGCAUCCACAGAGGAAGCUCUACAGACGCCUCCAUGCUCGCUCCCCACUCCUCCCCCCAGCCCCCCUGUCAGAGGGAGGAGGAAAAGGAGAUACCGGAGUAGAUCUUCACGCUCUGACUCCAGCUCAUGUUCCUCAUCGUCGUCCUCCUCCUCCUGCAGCUCUGCUUGCCGCUCUCCAAAACGACCCAGGUUGCACCGCCAGAGUUCGCAGAGCAGCUCUUGUUCGUCAUCGCCUUCAUCGAUAGAUUCGCCCCCGCGGCGCAACAGGCUGUCUUACUCCAAGUCCAGGAGCAGUCGGUCAAUAUCCAGGUCAUGGUCCCAGUCCAGGUCGCCAUCAAGAUCACCAUCACCUUCUCAGUACGCAUGUCGGAGGCGGUGGAGAGAUGUUUGCAGAGAGUCUCGGAGGAUCAGGAGGGAGCAUGAAAUCAGGAUGCAGAAACUCCGAGCCAUAGACGAGCGCAGAGUGGUGUACGUCGGCCGCAUCCGGACGACGAUGACGCACGAGGAGCUGCGAGACCGCUUUGCUCAGUUCGGAAACGUCGAGUGUGUCUCGCUUCACUUCAGAGACAGAGGUGGACCACUACGGCUUUGUCACCUUCUACAACAUGGAAGAUGCUUUUUGCUGCCAUCGAUAAUGGCAGUAAGCUACGGAAGCCCGACGAGUUGCCAUUCGACAUCUGCUUUGGGGAAGAAGACAGUUUUGUAACUCCAACUAUGCUGAUCUUGAUGCCAACAGAGACACAGAUCAGUCUCCUUCAAAGAGCACGUUGGACGACCUGGACUUUGAUUCGUUGCUGAAACAGGCUCAGAGAGGAUUGAAAAGGUAGCAGUGGGACGUCAGCAUCCACUCAAGAUGGGCUGAAGAUGGUUUUGGUUUUUUUCUCAAUUAGCAGACUUAUGUUUUUCUUUUAAACACGGUUUACAUGCAGUUUGAUUUGUGUAUUAAAUGUAUUAAGCCAUAUUAGCAUUUUUCAUUUGACAUGUCUGAAUAUUUAGCACUUCCAUUUUGUAUUCCAAGCACUGAUGAUUGAAAGUUGAAAAUAGCCACUUUUGCAUAAUAAACUUUUUUUUUUCUGUUAAGCCUUCUUUUAA